UCAUAAUACUUUAAAAGUUAAAACAUUAAUGUUGUAGGUAUAAGUGAUGCGUUGUUUUAAGUAUUUCUUUAUGCACAAUUUUGUUAAGUAAGGCUUAGAGCGUCGAAUGUUUGAAAUGUUUGGUCAUAAUUACACAUGGUAUUUACGCAGGUAUCACUCCGCCAGAAAAGUAGAGACCUGUGUACGUGUUUCAUGUUUCCAACAAAGGUAUGUGGAUUUGUGUAUUAUUGUUAUUUUUUUGUGAUAAAACGUUUUUGUUAUUGUAAUUAAAAUUAUUAUUUUUAUUUGAAUGAAUGUUGUUUACUUCGUCUUCUAUCGGACUUUUGAUGAUGAGGUAAUAGUUCUUCAUUGCUCUGUGUUUCUUGUGUAUCACUCCGCCAGAAAAGUAGAGACCUGUGUAUGUGUUUCAUGUUUCCAACAAAGACUUUUGAUGAUGAGGUAUCACUCCGCCAGAAAAGUAGAGACCUGUGUAUGUGUUUCAUGUUUCCAACAAAGGUAUGUGGAUUUGUGUAUUAUUAUUAUUUUUAUUUGUGAUAAAACGUUUUUGUUAUUGUAAUUUAAAUUAUUAUUUUUAUAUGAAUGAAUGUUGUUUACUUCCUCUUCUAUCGGACUGUUGAUGAUGAGGUAUCACUCCGCCAGAAAAGUAGAGACCUGUGUAUGUGUUUCAUGUUUCCAAGAAAGGUAUGUGGAUUUGUGUAUUAUUAUUUUUUUUUUGUGAUAAGACGUUUUUGUUAUUGUAAUUUAAAUUAUUAUUUUUGUAUGAAUGAAUGUUGUUUACUUCCUCUUCUAUCGGACUUUUGAUGAUGAGGUAAUAGUUCUUCAUUGCUCUGUGUUUCUUGUGUAAAUAUUAUUUCUAAACUUUCAUAAUACUUCAAAAGUUAAAACAUUAAUGUUGUAGGUAUAAGUGAUGUGUUGUUUUAAGUAUUUCUUUAUGCACAAUUUUGUUAAGUAAGGAUUAGAGUGUCGAAUGUUUGAAAUGUUUGGUCAUAAUUACACAUGGUAUUUACGCAGGUAUCACUCCGCCAGAAAAGUAGAGACCUGUGUAUGUGUUUCAUGUUUCCAACAAAGACUUUUGAUGAUGAGGUAUCACUCCGCCAGAAAAGUAGAGACCUGUGUAUGUGUUUCAUGUUUCCAACAAAGGUAUGUGGAUUUGUGUAUUAUUAUUUUAUUUUUUUGGUGAUAAAACGUUUUUGUUAUUGUAAUUUAAACUAUUAUUUUUGUAUGAAUGAAUGUUGUUUACUUACUCUUCUAUCGGACUUUUGAUGAUGAGGUAUCACUCCGCCAGAAAAGUAGAGACCUGUGUAUGUGUUUCAUGUUUCCAACAGAGGUAUGUGGAUUUGUGUAUUAUUAUUAUUUUUUUGUGAUAAAACGUUUUUGUUAUUGUAAUUUAAAUUGUUAUUUUUAUAUGAAUGAAUGUUGUUUACUUCCUCUUGUAUCUGACUUUUGCUGAGGAGGUAAUAGUUCUUUAUUGCUCUGUGUUUCUUGUGUAAAUAUUAUUACUAAACUUUCAUAAUACUUUAAAAGUUAAAACAUUAAUGUUGUAGGUAUAAGUGAUGUGUUGUUUUAAGUAUUUCUUUAUGCACAAUUUUGUUAAGUAAGGAUUAGAGCGUCGAAUGUUUGAAAUGUUUGGUCAUAAUUACACAUGGUAUUUACGCAGUUAUCACUCCGCCAGAAAAGUAGAGACCUGUGUAUGUGUUUCAUGUUUCCAACAAAGGUAUGUGGAUUUGUGUAUUAUUUUUUUUUGUGAUAAAACGUUUUUGUUAUUGUAAUUUAAAUUAUUAUUUUUAUAUGAAUGAAUGUUGUUUACUUCCUCUUCUAUCGGACUUUUGAUGGUGAGGUAUCACUCCGCCAGAAAA
Molecule: long non-coding RNA, 1856 nt
Organism: Nerophis ophidion (straightnose pipefish)
Lineage: Eukaryota; Metazoa; Chordata; Actinopteri; Syngnathiformes; Syngnathidae
Exons: 4
Source: RefSeq, a predicted model, not a curated record